This 255-nucleotide ribosomal RNA is filed under the name uncultured bacterium. Its description in RNAcentral is "partial 16S ribosomal RNA". It matches the Rfam family "Bacterial small subunit ribosomal RNA", at positions 79 to 334 of the family's 1533-position model. The record is from RNAcentral.
CUUUCUUUGCUGGCGACCGGCGCACGGGUGAGUAACACGUAUCCAACCUGCCCUUUACUCGGGGAUAGCCUUUCGAAAGAAAGAUUAAUACCCGAUAGCAUAAUGAUUCCGCAUGGUUUUCAUUAUUAAAGGAUUCCGGUAAAGGAUGGGGAUGCGUUCCAUUAGGUUGUUGGUGAGGUAACGGCCCACCAAGCCUUCGAUGGAUAGGGGUUCUGAGAGGAAGGUCCCCCACAUUGGAACUGAGACACGGUCCAA